GAGGUCUGAGGAAAAUAUCCAAGCAGUCCAGUUCUCACUGCAGACUGACCUCAACAUAGAA
Molecule: small nucleolar RNA, 61 nt
Filed under: Mesocricetus auratus (golden hamster)
Lineage: Eukaryota; Metazoa; Chordata; Mammalia; Rodentia; Cricetidae
Description: Small nucleolar RNA SNORD19
Rfam family: Small nucleolar RNA SNORD19
About the family: Homo sapiens C/D box snoRNA HBII-108: This snoRNA is the human orthologue of the mouse MBII-108 and is predicted to guide 2'O-ribose methylation of the small 18S rRNA on position G683. snoRNA HBII-108 is encoded in a nucleostemin (NS) gene intron like the HBII-210
Source: Rfam by way of RNAcentral